This 1196-nucleotide long non-coding RNA is filed under the name Homo sapiens (human). Its description in RNAcentral is "GRHL2 divergent transcript, transcript variant 2 (GRHL2-DT)". Lineage: Eukaryota; Metazoa; Chordata; Mammalia; Primates; Hominidae. The record is from RNAcentral.
AAGUCUGUGCAGGUGAAGGUGUGUGAGAGCGCCCGAGAUGGCAGAACAAGAGCUACAGGUAAUUCUGCUUUUCCGUCCCCCCUCACCACUCUCGCUCGCUCGCCCGCUCGCGCCCUCACCUAGCCGGAAAGGUGGGAUAAGGGGGGGCCCCUCACAUGGGGCCCGAGCUCGGAGGCGGCCGGGCGGCGCGGAGUCCUCCUGGAUCGUGGCAAUGGGCAGACACAGAGCAGAAAGUGGCGGACUUGGGCGGCCACAGGUAACUCACUCCGAAGUUUACCCGAGUGGAGCGGCGGCAUGCUUGCAGCUCGGCGGCAGCCUGUGAGAGCUGAGGGUCAGUUCUUCGAGUAGAUCUCAAGCUGCGUUUUCCUCCUUCUCCAAAGCAGGGAUGGGAAGGUGGAGGCUACUGGUUGAAGAGAAGAAAGGGGUUGGGGGAAUGCAACACCUGCAAACACUAGGGAUUGUGGGUCGAGCGGAAGAGCUAAUGAGAGCCGAGCUCAGGUAUCCCAAGUCAACCAGAAUCAAAUGCGCAGUACGCCACAAGGCAUUUAAUGCCCACAGUAACAGGGCUGUUUGACAGUGGCAGAAGAGGACGGGACUAAAGUUACUUUGUGCUGAGAGGGGGAAAGAAGCACAAAGUUUGGUCUGUUGCGUAAUUGAAUUUUUAACACUCUUAUCCACAACAAACACUUUUUCGUGUCCUGCUGUGUAAAAGACAUCAGAUAUAUUACAGAUUUUCAAACAGGUGAGCAUCCUUUUACGAGCUGGGCAGGUGGGGAGUGGCGUGGUUUUGAUGGAGUGAGGAGAUUUGGUUGAAUGAACGCUAAGAUGGCCAGACGCACCUCUUCGAUCUCAACUCUGCAGCCUGGGAUUCCAGAGCUGCAAACAACCACUGAAUUCGUUCUGUAAACCUGUUGUCAUUUGACGUUUCCAGGCAGGCAUCAACAUUUACAUUGUAAUUCAAUAGACGCUACUACUACAAAGGAGCUUUAUUCUUCCAGCUUAAUAUGGUUGCUGCGGGAACACUGCAGGAUGAAACUGACUUUUUUUGUGGUAAUGUUUCUCCUGGUUGGGAACAACGCAAAUUAGCAAAGGCGUAAUUUAUAACCGCUGCUACCAAAGAGUGAAGUAUUUGUGGAAGUUCUGACUGGAAUCUAGCUCGUACAUAUGGAUUGUGGAAAUAAAGGAGGACGUGGAAA